This 402-nucleotide ribosomal RNA is filed under the name Triticum aestivum (bread wheat). Its description in RNAcentral is "partial small subunit ribosomal RNA". Lineage: Eukaryota; Viridiplantae; Streptophyta; Magnoliopsida; Poales; Poaceae. The record is from RNAcentral.
AUGAGCACAACCACUAACAGCAGCAAUGGUACAACUUGUUCAAGUGAGAGUGGAAGUGAAUGUGAGGUUGAAUCUGACAUAAAGAAGAUGGAGCUCGGGAAGAAAAAGCUUCAGCAAUACAUGUAUGUUGCAUUUGUGGUCGCCAUGCACAAUCAAAAGUAUCUUAUGAAGAAAGAAAGGAGAGAGGUAAGAUGCACAGGACAACAGUGGGGAUAUGAUUGCUUGGGUUCUUUGAAAGAUUGCUACAUGAUGUUUCGUAUGCAUAGGCCAUGUUUUGACUUAUUACAUGAGACUUUGGUACACAACUAUGGUUUGCGAGCAACAUGCAACAUGUGUUCCGAGGAGGCUCUAUGGAUGUUCUUGUGGACUAUUGGUAGCCCACAAUCAGUGAGCCAAGUUUAG